AAUCCAUAGGUUAAUGAGGCGAACCGGGGGAACUGAAACAUCUAAGUACCCCGAGGAAAAGAAAUCAACCGAGAUUCCCCCAGUAGCGGCGAGCGAACGGGGAGGAGCCCAGAGCCUGAAUCAGCAUGUGUGUUAGUGGAAGCGUCUGGAAAGGCGCGCGAUACAGGGUGACAGCCCCGUACACAAAAGCGCAUGUGCUGUGAGCUCGAUGAGUAGGGCGGGACACGUGGUAUCCUGUCUGAAUAUGGGGGGACCAUCCUCCAAGGCUAAAUACUCCUGACUGACCGAUAGUGAACCAGUACCGUGAGGGAAAGGCGAAAAGAACCCCGGCGAGGGGAGUGAAAAAGAACCUGAAACCGUGUACGUACAAGCAGUGGGAGCACCCUUUGGGUGUGACUGCGUACCUUUUGUAUAAUGGGUCAGCGACUUAUAUUCUGUAGCAAGGUUAACCGAAUAGGGGAGCCGGAGGGAAACCGAGUCUUAACCGGGCGUUAAGUUGCAGGGUAUAGACCCGAAACCCGGUGAUCUAGCCAUGGGCAGGUUGAAGGUUGGGUAACACUAACUGGAGGACCGAACCGACUAAUGUUGAAAAAUUAGCGGAUGACCUGUGGCUGGGGGUGAAAGGCCAAUCAAACCGGGAGAUAGCUGGUUCUCCCCGAAAGCUAUUUAGGUAGCGCCUCGUGAA
RNAcentral lists this ribosomal RNA (685 nucleotides) under Salmonella enterica. RNAcentral describes it as "partial 23S ribosomal RNA". It matches the Rfam family "Bacterial large subunit ribosomal RNA", at positions 161 to 888 of the family's 2925-position model. RNAcentral also lists the same sequence under 1 other name. Lineage: Bacteria; Pseudomonadati; Pseudomonadota; Gammaproteobacteria; Enterobacterales; Enterobacteriaceae. The record is from RNAcentral.